AACCAGAGAACCACUUUUGAGUAUUCCACCAAUAGGUUAGCCAGGGUGUGUAAUGGGCAACACGGACUGCCCACUGAUCUGGUGUAGGCAGUAGGUGGUAAGCUUCAUUAGAUAGGUUUGCAGGAAAACCAGGCCACCAGUAGUUAAUAGCCGGAGCUAAUAGCGUUACUCCUGCUAGCCUGUGAGGAAUGUACUUGAGGCAGCUCCAAGUCAACUCACCACCCAUGGAAAGGCCAAUUACAUAGAAUUUGGAUCCAAGUCCCAAUUGAUCAGCCAGUUCUUCGACAUCUAAAGCAAAGCUUUUCAAUGNNNNNCUUUUCAAUGUUCGUUUUGGAUGAGGAUCACUCUCUCCAUAACCUGGUCUGUCAAAUGACACAAUGUAGAUCCCUAAUUCUUCAACAAUUUCCAGAGAAAGGUGAUUAGCAACAGCAGGAUUGUGCCUGCAAGCAUUAAAACCAUGGACAACGAUAAUUUUAUUUAAACUUAGCCACAUCUUUUGAGACACCAUGCUCUUUAUAGGCCAAAUGCCUCCCAUCUCUAAGCUUUAUUCUUGGUGCUGUAAUAGGAGGCCCACCUGGAG
Molecule: unclassified non-coding RNA, 580 nt
Filed under: Hevea brasiliensis (rubber tree)
Lineage: Eukaryota; Viridiplantae; Streptophyta; Magnoliopsida; Malpighiales; Euphorbiaceae
Source: RNAcentral